Molecule: transfer RNA, 66 nt
Filed under: Dalsira scabrata
Lineage: Eukaryota; Metazoa; Arthropoda; Insecta; Hemiptera; Pentatomidae
Description: tRNA-Pro
Source: RNAcentral
CAGUAAGUAGUUUAUUUAUAAAAUUUUAAUUUUGGAGAUUAAAGAAAAGUUAAUUCUUUUUACUGA